RNAcentral lists this transfer-messenger RNA (339 nucleotides) under bacterium HR35. RNAcentral describes it as "transfer-messenger RNA, SsrA". It matches the Rfam family "transfer-messenger RNA". Rfam says of the family: Bacterial tmRNA, also known as 10Sa RNA or SsrA, is named for its dual tRNA and mRNA-like properties. Its role is to liberate the mRNA from a stalled ribosome. To accomplish this part of the tmRNA is used as a reading frame that ends in a translation stop signal. The record is from RNAcentral.
GGGGGUGGAAUGGAGGUCGAGGAGGAAAAAAAGAAUUAUCGGAGCUAGCAGGGUGGCUCCCUUAAUAGCCUCUUAAAGUGCCAACAGAGUCCCAGUUUACGCUCUUUCGUAAAGUAAAGAGCGGCUUCUAAGAAACUUUAGAGGGGAGUUUCUUAGGGGUUAAAAAAAUCCCUCUUAGGUUUUAGGUGAUGGCUCUAGCCUAAAACCGAAAUUAAGAGCCUAGCUUUUGAGAGGUUUGUCUGUUUUUCCUCUCAAAAAGCAAAUUUUAAAAACAGACUGCGCUAGGAGAACCGAUAAUUCUUUUUCCUCCGAUGGGGGUUCGAUUCCCCCCACCUCCAC